UACGGAGGGGGCUAGCGUUGUUCGGAAUUACUGGGCGUAAAGCGCACGUAGGCGGCUUUGCAAGUUAGAGGUGAAAGCCCGGGGCUCAACUCCGGAAUUGCCUUUAAAACUGCAUCGCUAGAAUUGUGGAGAGGUAAGUGGAAUUCCGAGUGUAGAGGUGAAAUUCGUAGAUAUUCGGAAGAACACCAGUGGCGAAGGCGGACUUACUGGACACAUAUUGACGCUGAGGUGCGAAAGCGUGGGGAGCAAACAGG
Molecule: ribosomal RNA, 254 nt
Filed under: uncultured bacterium
Lineage: Bacteria
Description: partial 16S ribosomal RNA
Rfam family: Bacterial small subunit ribosomal RNA
Source: RNAcentral